This 1529-nucleotide ribosomal RNA is filed under the name Klebsiella variicola At-22. Its description in RNAcentral is "bacterial SSU rRNA". It matches the Rfam family "Bacterial small subunit ribosomal RNA". Lineage: Bacteria; Pseudomonadati; Pseudomonadota; Gammaproteobacteria; Enterobacterales; Enterobacteriaceae. The record is from RNAcentral.
AGAGUUUGAUCAUGGCUCAGAUUGAACGCUGGCGGCAGGCCUAACACAUGCAAGUCGAGCGGUAGCACAGAGAGCUUGCUCUCGGGUGACGAGCGGCGGACGGGUGAGUAAUGUCUGGGAAACUGCCUGAUGGAGGGGGAUAACUACUGGAAACGGUAGCUAAUACCGCAUAACGUCGCAAGACCAAAGUGGGGGACCUUCGGGCCUCAUGCCAUCAGAUGUGCCCAGAUGGGAUUAGCUAGUAGGUGGGGUAACGGCUCACCUAGGCGACGAUCCCUAGCUGGUCUGAGAGGAUGACCAGCCACACUGGAACUGAGACACGGUCCAGACUCCUACGGGAGGCAGCAGUGGGGAAUAUUGCACAAUGGGCGCAAGCCUGAUGCAGCCAUGCCGCGUGUGUGAAGAAGGCCUUCGGGUUGUAAAGCACUUUCAGCGGGGAGGAAGGCGGUGAGGUUAAUAACCUCACCGAUUGACGUUACCCGCAGAAGAAGCACCGGCUAACUCCGUGCCAGCAGCCGCGGUAAUACGGAGGGUGCAAGCGUUAAUCGGAAUUACUGGGCGUAAAGCGCACGCAGGCGGUCUGUCAAGUCGGAUGUGAAAUCCCCGGGCUCAACCUGGGAACUGCAUUCGAAACUGGCAGGCUAGAGUCUUGUAGAGGGGGGUAGAAUUCCAGGUGUAGCGGUGAAAUGCGUAGAGAUCUGGAGGAAUACCGGUGGCGAAGGCGGCCCCCUGGACAAAGACUGACGCUCAGGUGCGAAAGCGUGGGGAGCAAACAGGAUUAGAUACCCUGGUAGUCCACGCUGUAAACGAUGUCGAUUUGGAGGUUGUGCCCUUGAGGCGUGGCUUCCGGAGCUAACGCGUUAAAUCGACCGCCUGGGGAGUACGGCCGCAAGGUUAAAACUCAAAUGAAUUGACGGGGGGCCCGCACAAGCGGUGGAGCAUGUGGUUUAAUUCGAUGCAACGCGAAGAACCUCACCUGGUCUUGACAUCCACAGAACUUAGCAGAGAUGCUUUGGUGCCUUCGGGAACUGUGAGACAGGUGCUGCAUGGCUGUCGUCAGCUCGUGUUGUGAAAUGUUGGGUUAAGUCCCGCAACGAGCGCAACCCUUAUCCUUUGUUGCCAGCGGUUAGGCCGGGAACUCAAAGGAGACUGCCAGUGAUAAACUGGAGGAAGGUGGGGAUGACGUCAAGUCAUCAUGGCCCUUACGACCAGGGCUACACACGUGCUACAAUGGCAUAUACAAAGAGAAGCGACCUCGCGAGAGCAAGCGGACCUCAUAAAGUAUGUCGUAGUCCGGAUUGGAGUCUGCAACUCGACUCCAUGAAGUCGGAAUCGCUAGUAAUCGUAGAUCAGAAUGCUACGGUGAAUACGUUCCCGGGCCUUGUACACACCGCCCGUCACACCAUGGGAGUGGGUUGCAGAAGAAGUAGGUAGCUUAACCUUCGGGAGGGCGCUUACCACUUUGUGAUUCAUGACUGGGGUGAAGUCGUAACAAGGUAACCGUAGGGGAACCUGCGGUUGGAUCACCU